GGAGGGAUGGCAGAGUGGACGAUUGCGACGGUCUUGAAAACCGUUAACCCUCACGGGUUCGUGGGUUCGAAUCCCACUCCCUCCGCCA
This 88-nucleotide transfer RNA is filed under the name Chloroflexota bacterium. RNAcentral describes it as "Chloroflexi bacterium tRNA-Ser". It matches the Rfam family "tRNA". Rfam says of the family: Transfer RNA (tRNA) molecules are approximately 80 nucleotides in length. Their secondary structure includes four short double-helical elements and three loops (D, anti-codon, and T loops). Lineage: Bacteria; Bacillati; Chloroflexota. The record is from RNAcentral.